Long non-coding RNA from Lates calcarifer (barramundi perch), 391 nucleotides. RefSeq lists it as uncharacterized. The record is from RefSeq and is a predicted model, not a curated record. Lineage: Eukaryota; Metazoa; Chordata; Actinopteri; Centropomidae. The transcript has 4 exons.
UAUUGUGGUGCUAUACAAAGGCAAGGAAUCUUCACAGAUGUUCUACUGUGGUGGGUUUUUUUAAUUCUAGUAAAAACCUCAAGCAGUCGUUCCUCCUUCCAUCCCUCCUCACCUCCACAACCAGUGUCUGUACAGGGCAGUGUAUCUACACAGUAUACUGCCAUCACAAAGGAGAAAGAUAAGGAUGAAUCCCAAACUACUGCUUGUUACUAUACCUUGAACCUGGGGACCUCCAGCCACUCAGUGACACCAGCUGUCAACCCACCUUUAACAGAAGAGGAUCCCCUGUAUUAUUCAAUCGAAUAGGAAAGAUUGAGGGUAAUACUGUACUGCACUGUGUAUUCCAUGCCAUCUCUGUGGCUCAGCAGUCAGAGCUGAUUGUUCAAUAAAA